CCUCAAAUUGGCUUCAAAUAGUGAUGGCAAGCAUUAUUUACAUCACAGAGGGGCAGACAAUGCAGUGGCUGAUCAGAGCUUUCCUGAUACCAUCAUGCUUUUUAGAGGCCUCUGCUCUGCCAGCCUGGGAGUCAUCUUCACCCUCAGGCUGGUAGACUCCAGUCUCUGAGGUCAGAAUGGGAUUAGAGACCCGUUCCUGAACCAGUCACACACAGGGGGCGAAACUGCUAUGAUUGGUUUAGACUUAGAGACUGGAAUGGAUGCUGGCCUACAAGUGAAGACACAUAGAAGCAAUGUGUAGCCAGAUUGUGGUCCUAAAUGCCAUUUCCUACCAGGAAGGAACCAGGGUCUUUGGAGAAAUGUAUCAUUUCACAUCUGGGAACUGGACCAAGGGAAGAGGACACAGAAGGUAAAAGGAAGCCAGACCAGCAUGUUCUCCCACUCUAGUGCUCCUACCAAGAGGCUUUGAUAAGCAAUCACAAUUGUCCCCAGUGACAUGAAAGAAAAAGUGAAGCAUCCUGUAGGGAUGCAUAGCAUGACAUCUACAUAGACUUGGGUCAUGGAAGGAAACUGUCACCACAUACAAGUUCAAGGGAAAUGUUCAGCCUCCAGGGUAGGCAAUCCCUAAUUUAUAACUCUUUACCUGUUGCUAGACAUUUUGACUGCAUGUGGAAGAAUAAGGAGUAGAUAGCUAGACAGAGAAGAUUUUGGAAGAGAGCAGGAAGGAAAAGCAUACAGCAUGAGAAAAGACCUGAAACACUCAAGAAAGCCCAGCAGGGCUAUAUGGUAAACA
This is a long non-coding RNA of Gorilla gorilla gorilla (western lowland gorilla), 793 nucleotides long. RefSeq lists it as uncharacterized. Lineage: Eukaryota; Metazoa; Chordata; Mammalia; Primates; Hominidae. The transcript is spliced from 3 exons. The record is from RefSeq and is a predicted model, not a curated record.